This 481-nucleotide ribosomal RNA is filed under the name uncultured bacterium. RNAcentral's name for it is "partial 16S ribosomal RNA". It matches the Rfam family "Bacterial small subunit ribosomal RNA", at positions 29 to 506 of the family's 1533-position model. The record is from RNAcentral.
ACGCACGCUGGCGGCGUGCUUAACCCCUGCCAGUCGCACGCUGAAGCUCAGCUUUUGUUGGGUGGAUGAGUGGCGAACGGGUGAGUAACACGUGAGUAACCUGCCCCCUUCUUUGGGAUAACGCCCGGAAACGGGUGCUAAUACUGGAUAUUCACUGGUCUUCGCAUGGGGGUUGGUGGAAAGGGUUUUUCUGGUGGGGGAUGGGCUCGCGGCCUAUCAGCUUGUUGGUGGGGUGAUGGCCUACCAAGGCUUUGACGGGUAGCCGGCCUGAGAGGGUGACCGGUCACAUUGGGACUGAGAUACGGCCCAGACUCCUACGGGAGGCAGCAGUGGGGAAGAUUGCACAAUGGGCGCAAGCCUGAUGCAGCGACGCCGCGUGAGGGAUGGAGGCCUUCGGGUGGUGAACCUCUUUCGCUCAUGGUCAAGCCGCAACAAUGGUUGUGGUGAGGGUAGUGGGUAAAGAAACGCCGGCUAACUACGU